GGUGGAGUGUUACUUUAGCUUGGCCCCUCGCCGUUUUCCUUCUUCCCCCGACGCUAACACCUCCUCUCCCCACCACUUUCUCUGUUUCCACGUCUGCACCUAUAGCAGCCACCGAAACCUCUCGCCAGGGUCGUCUUCCUCUUCUCCUUUCCUCGCUAUUUGACUUUAGCUUGUGGGUGGAGUUGCUCCCUCCCUGCUGCCACCAUACAACCAGCCACCUGCUGCCGUCCUUUUGCCAAUUUGCCGCCAGAAUCAAGUAUCUUGCCCUCCAAAAGCUAGGAAUAGCUCCUCCCCAUCCCCGUUCCUUCGCCGGCAGCCUUCAGAGCAGCCUCCUUCCCACCGCAAUCUAGUGGUUUCCGACGAAGGCAAGGUUGUGAUUUGGUGUUUUUGGCUUCAGCUUAUUUCAAGCUUCGCGUAGCCGCUUCGGAAUUCGAAUUCCAACACUGUUGGCGAUGAGGCAACAGUAAAACAUGCCACCCAUGACUACAUCAGGACUGUGUGUGCACCGGUAUAAAUAUGAGUCAGAUAAUAGAGGAAUAUUCGAUGAUGUGCCCUGGUCGAGCACAAUUCUCUAGGUCUAUGGAAGUGUGAUUUGCUGAAAAAAGAUCCAUGGUCAAACAUUGUUUUCUAAGCGCCGGCUAUAUUGGUAUUUAAGUGACCAGACUGGACUUAAGGACCUUGGUCGAGCCUUGCUCUCUGGGCGUCAGUAUUAUUGGAAUAAGAAAGUCGAAAUGCUGCUCAAAUUGGAGGUUUAGGGUUCUGCAGAAGUACUCAUCUCGUGACAACUCGGUUCUCCGCCGACUUUCUCUUGGCAGCCCGAUUUCUUUCCCUUCAGACUUAUUGUAAUUAAAUUCUACCUUUUGUAUUUCGAAUUAUUUGAAAUUUUUGACUCUCCGCAUUAGUGGACCUGAAAUUUUACAUCUUAUUUUGGUUGGUUAAAAAUUAUAGAAAAAUUAUUAAGUACGCAUGCUAAUGGAUUAAUUUAA
Ricinus communis (castor bean) is the source of this 986-nucleotide long non-coding RNA. RefSeq lists it as uncharacterized. Lineage: Eukaryota; Viridiplantae; Streptophyta; Magnoliopsida; Malpighiales; Euphorbiaceae. The record is from RefSeq and is a predicted model, not a curated record. The transcript is spliced from 3 exons.